GAUGAACGCUGGCGGCGUGCCUAAUACAUGCAAGUCGAGCGAACAGACGAGGAGCUUGCUCCUCUGACGAUAUCGGCGGACGGGUGUGUCGCGCGUGUAUACCCUACCUAUACGACUGAGAUAACUUCGGGACACCGGCUCUAAUCCCGUAUCAUCUAUUGAACCGCAUGGUUCAAUAGAGAAAGACGGUUUUGCUGUCACCUAUAGAUGGUUCCGCGCCGUAUUAGUUGGUUGGUAAGGUAGCGGCUUACAAAGGCAACGAUGCGUAGCCGACCUGAGGGGGUGAUCGCCACCCUUGGACCUGGACCACGGCCCAGACCCCUACGGGAGGCACCAGAAGGGAACCUUCCGCAUGGGGCGAAAGCUUGCCGGAGCACCGCGGCGUGGGUGAUGAGGGUCUUCGGUUCGUAAGACCCGGUGUUUGGGGAAAACCAAAGGUGUAAUUAACUAUGCACGUCUUGACGGUACCUAAUCAGAAAGCCACGGCUAACUACGUG
This 497-nucleotide ribosomal RNA is filed under the name uncultured bacterium. RNAcentral's name for it is "partial 16S ribosomal RNA". It matches the Rfam family "Bacterial small subunit ribosomal RNA", at positions 28 to 507 of the family's 1533-position model. The record is from RNAcentral.